CUGGCUCUGGACGAACGCUGGCGGCGUGCCUAAUACAUGCAAGUAGAACGCUGAAGACUUUAGCUUGCUAAAGUUGGAAGAGUUGCGAACGGGUGAGUAACGCGUAGGUAACCUGCCUACUAGCGGGGGAUAACUAUUGGAAACGAUAGCUAAUACCGCAUAACAGCAUUUAACACAUGUUAGAUGCUUGAAAGGAGUAAUUGCUUCACUAGUAGAUGGACCUGCGUUGUAUUAGCUAGUUGGUGAGGUAACGGCUCACCAAGGCGACGAUACAUAGCCGACCUGAGAGGGUGAUCGGCCACACUGGGACUGAGACACGGCCCAGACUCCUACGGGAGGCAGCAGUAGGGAAUCUUCGGCAAUGGGGGCAACCCUGACCGAGCAACGCCGCGUGAGUGAAGAAGGUUUUCGGAUCGUAAAGCUCUGUUGUAAGAGAAGAACGUGUGUGAGAGUGGAAAGUUCACACAGUGACGGUAACUUACCAGAAAGGGACGGCUAACUACGUGCCAGCAGCCGCGGUAAUACGUAGGUCCCGAGCGUUGUCCGGAUAUAUUGGGCGUAAAGCGAGCGCAGGCGGUUUAAUAAGUCUGAAGUUAAAGGCAGUGGCUUAACCAUUGUUCGCUUUGAAACUGUUAGACUUGAGUGCAGAAGGGGAGAGUGGAAUUCCAUGUGUAGCGGUGAAAUGCGUAGAUAUAUGGAGGAACACCGGUGGCGAAAGCGGCUCUCUGGUCUGUAACUGACGCUGAGGCUCGAAAGCGUGGGGAGCACACAGGAUUAGAUACCCUGGUAGUCCACGCCGUAAACGAUGAGUGCUAGGUGUUAGGCCCUUUCCGGGGCUUAGUGCCGCAGCUAACGCAUUAAGCACUCCGCCUGGGGAGUACGACCGCAAGGUUGAAACUCAAAGGAAUUGACGGGGGCCCGCACAAGCGGUGGAGCAUGUGGUUUAAUUCGAAGCAACGCGAAGAACCUUACCAGGUCUUGACAUCCCGAUGCUAUUCCUAGAGAUAGGAAGUUUCUUCGGAACAUCGGUGACAGGUGGUGCAUGGUUGUCGUCAGCUCGUGUCGUGAGAUGUUGGGUUAAGUCCCGCAACGAGCGCAACCCCUAUUGUUAGUUGCCAUCAUUAAGUUGGGCACUCUAGCGAGACUGCCGGUAAUAAACCGGAGGAAGGUGGGGAUGACGUCAAAUCAUCAUGCCCCUUAUGACCUGGGCUACACACGUGCUACAAUGGUUGGUACAACGAGUCGCGAGUCGGUGACGGCAAGCAAAUCUCUUAAAGCCAAUCUCAGUUCGGAUUGUAGGCUGCAACUCGCCUACAUGAAGUCGGAAUCGCUAGUAAUCGCGGAUCAGCACGCCGCGGUGAUACAUUCCCGGGCCUGUACACACCGCCCGUCA
RNAcentral lists this ribosomal RNA (1393 nucleotides) under uncultured bacterium. RNAcentral's name for it is "16S ribosomal RNA". It matches the Rfam family "Bacterial small subunit ribosomal RNA". The record is from RNAcentral.